Molecule: unclassified non-coding RNA, 338 nt
Filed under: soil metagenome
Description: partial contains 5.8S ribosomal RNA, internal transcribed spacer 2, and large subunit ribosomal RNA
Rfam family: 5.8S ribosomal RNA (bases 1-120)
Source: RNAcentral
GAUGAAGAACGUAGCGAAAUGCGAUAAGUAGUGUGAAUUGCAGAAUUCAGUGAAUCAUCGAAUCUUUGAACGCACAUUGCGCCCUUUGGUAUUCCUUAGGGCAUGCCUGUUCGAGCGUCAUUUAAACCUUCAAGCUCAGCUUGGUGUUGGGUGACUGUCCGCCGCCUCCGGGCGCGUGGACUCGCCUCAAAAUUAUUGGCGGCCGGUACAUUGGCUUCGAGCGCAGCAGAAACGCGAACUCGGGCCCGUCGUAUUGGCUCCCAGAAGCUAUCUUCACAAUUUUGACCUCGGAUCAGGUAGGGAUACCCGCUGAACUUAAGCAUAUCAUAAGCGGAGGA